AUUGAACGCUGGCGGCAUGCCUUACACAUGCAAGUCGAACGGCAGCGGACCUUCGGGUGCCGGCGAGUGGCGAACGGGUGAGUAAUAUAUCGGAACGUACCUUUCAGUGGGGGAUAACGUAGCGAAAGUUACGCUAAUACCGCAUAUUCUGUGAGCAGGAAAGCAGGGGAUCGCAAGACCUUGCGCUGAUUGAGCGGCCGAUAUCAGAUUAGCUAGUUGGUGAGGUAAAGGCUCACCAAGGCGACGAUCUGUAGCGGGUCUGAGAGGAUGAUCCGCCACACUGGAACUGAGACACGGACCAGACUCCUACGGGAGGCAGCGGUAAGGAAUAUUGGACAAUGGCCGCAAGGCUGAUCCAGCCAUGCCGCGUGCAGGAAGACGGACCUAUGGUUUGUAAACUGCUUUUGAACGGGAGAAAACCCCCCUACGUGUAGGGGGCUGAUAGUACUGUUAGAAUAAGCAUCGGCUAACUCCGUGCCAGCAGCC
Molecule: ribosomal RNA, 486 nt
Filed under: uncultured bacterium
Lineage: Bacteria
Description: bacterial SSU rRNA
Rfam family: Bacterial small subunit ribosomal RNA
Source: RNAcentral